RNAcentral lists this ribosomal RNA (303 nucleotides) under uncultured bacterium. Its description in RNAcentral is "partial 16S ribosomal RNA". It matches the Rfam family "Bacterial small subunit ribosomal RNA", at positions 507 to 807 of the family's 1533-position model. The record is from RNAcentral.
AGCAGUAGCCACGGUAAGACAGAGGAUGCAAGCGUUAUCCGGAAUUAUUGGGCGUAAAGGGCUCGCAGGCGGUUUCUUAAGUCUGAUGUGAAAGCCCCCGGCUCAACCGGGAAGGGUCAUUGGAAACUGGGAAACUUGAGUGCAGAAGGGGAGAGUGGAAUUCCACGUGUAGCGGUGAAAUGCGUAGAGAUGUGGAGGAACACCAGUGGCGAAGGCGACUCUCUGGUCUGUAACUGACACUGAGGAGCGAAAGCGCGGGGAGCGAACAGGAUUAGAUACCCCUGUAGUCCCUGUCUCUUAUAC